Molecule: long non-coding RNA, 952 nt
Filed under: Homo sapiens (human)
Lineage: Eukaryota; Metazoa; Chordata; Mammalia; Primates; Hominidae
Description: HSALNT0130835
Source: RNAcentral
UGGAAUGUUGCCAUGCUUGGAACUGUAAAAAUACAGCUGUUAGGAGGUAGAGCUGGGAGAAAGGACGACUGGAGAGUUAAUCUUAUUCUACAAAAGGGAUUCUGUCUGUAACUGAUGAAACUAGGUAGAGGUUUAAGUAAAUGUGUAACCGAGCUGGAGGGAAGAAACCUAAUAGCUGUUCUGCGGGAAUGUCAUCAUUUAGUCAGUAGGGAGGUAGACAUCCAGAAGUCACAGCUUGCCUCUUGCCUCUUGCCUCUGCCCAGUAGCUUUUCAGUGGUAUCUUUUUAAGAGAGGGUCUCACUCUGUCACCCAGGCUGGAGUGCAGCUUUGACCUCCCGGGCUCAAGUGGUCCUCCCAUCUCAGCCUCCCAAGUACCUGGGAGCAUGGGCGUGCACUACCACACCCUGCUAAUUUUUUUUUGUAUUUUUUUUAUAGAGACUGGGGGGGUCUCACUGUGUUGCCCGGGCUGGUCUUGAAUUCCUAGGCCCAAGAAAUCUGCCAGCCUCAGCCCAGUCUCCAAAAUUGCUAGGAUUACAGCUACUGUUCCUCAAGCCAGGACCUACGCACCUGUUGUGAGUGGUGUUAUAGUUCUGCAGGGCGCACAGGUGCAUCCCCAUGGGCACAUUUAAUUUAGGGAAAUCCUCAUUGACGAUUCAAUUUGUUGAAGGCCAAUUUGUGGACUCCUACGAUCCAACCAUAGAAAACACUUUUACAAAGUUGAUCACAGUAAAUGGACAAGAAUAUCAUCUUCAACUUGUAGACACAGCCGGGCAAGAUGAAUAUUCUAUCUUUCCUCAGACAUACUCCAUAGAUAUUAAUGGCUAUAUUCUUGUGUAUUCUGUUACAUCAAUCAAAAGUUUUGAAGUGAUUAAAGUUAUCCAUGGCAAAUUGUUGGAUAUGGUGGGGAAAGUACAAAUACCUAUUAUGUUGGUUGGGAAUAAGAAAGACCUGC